UCCGUUUGCCUUCGCAGAGACGGAUCUGACCUAGCCCGAUCCGAUUCGGUUCUGGCGAUCCAUAAUCUGUUUGAUCUGUUUGUGUUACUAUUUGUUACUGUUCACUGUUCUGUUUUAUGUUACUGUCACUAACCAACAAUCGGUACGUUCAUCUUCAGUGUCUCUCUGGCUCGAAGAUCGAUCGAUUUGUUAAGUUUUUUUAGUUUAAUUUUAAUGCUUUUAUAUCUGAUUGUAUUUUUUUUGUCUACAGAUUAUAAAUGACCGUGAAACCGGAAGAUCUCGUGGUUUUGGAUUUGUGACCUUCGGCAAUGAGAAGGCAAUGAGAGAUGCUAUUGAUGGAAUGAACGGUCAGGACCUCGAUGGCCGUAACAUCACCGUGAACGAAGCUCAAUCCCGCGGAAGUGGUGGAGGUGGUGGUGGCGGCGGUGGUUACAACCGCAACAGCGGUGGUGGCGGUUAUGGAGGAGGUGGACGCCGUGAAGGCGGCGGUGGUUACAGCCGUGGCGGAGGCGGCUACGGAGGCGGUGGAAGCGGAUAUGGUAGUGGUGGCGGCGGCGGUGGUUAUGGCGGUGGCCGUGACCGUGGUUAUGGUGACGGUGGAUCUAGGUACUCUUCAAGGGGUGAAUCCGAAGGUGGUAGCUGGAGGAGUUAGGUUUAUUUGGUUGCUGGUUGGUUAUGAUAUUAAGACUUUAGUUUCUAGUCAAGCUUGUUUGGUUCCCGGUUCUCUCG
Molecule: long non-coding RNA, 729 nt
Filed under: Populus trichocarpa (black cottonwood)
Lineage: Eukaryota; Viridiplantae; Streptophyta; Magnoliopsida; Malpighiales; Salicaceae
Description: long non-coding RNA (PTRI_LNC002354)
Source: RNAcentral